GGACGAAAGAGCAGACAGAAGUGUUUAUAAAGCUCCGGGGAGAGAACGAUGAGCUCUUCACCGGAGCAGAGAACUCUGCCACUGUGGGAUGGAGGAUAGUUUUGGAGAAGAUGGGCCUGUCUGGUAAAGUGACACCAGCCCAAGCAAAGAAAAAGUGGGACAAUUUAAAAAAGAAAUAUAAAGAAUGCAAGUAUCCAGGGUCAGGAGAGGGAGUGAGUGGGAAGCCCACUGCUGCUACUUGGCCCUGGUUUGUCCAAAUGGAUGAGGUUUUAGGACAAAGGCCUUCAAUUUGCCCCCCUGUCCUUAUUGCCUCCAUCCCUAUGGACACUCCAGGGCCAAGUGCAGCAGUGAGUGACCAAGAGGAGAGAGAGGAAGAAGAGAGGGAAGGAGAUAGGCAGCCAGCAGCGAAGAAGAGGAGAAGGGACAGUGACCAGGAGCUGUUAGACCUCAUCAGGGAGGACAUGAGGCAGCAGAGAGAGGCUGAAGAGAGGAGAGCACAGGCUGAAGAGAGGAGGGCACAGGAGAGCAGGGAGAGGAUGGACAGGCUCUUCUCCAUUCUGGAGCGUUGGGUCCCCAAAUAAUUUUUUUUUUUCUUGGGGUGGGAGGGAUUACAUUUUUUCCAUUGUUAGCUUCAGUUGUUUGAAAUAAAUUGUUUGAAAGAAAUACUUCUCA
This is a long non-coding RNA of Cyprinus carpio (common carp), 672 nucleotides long. The record is from Ensembl. Lineage: Eukaryota; Metazoa; Chordata; Actinopteri; Cypriniformes; Cyprinidae.